GAAGAAUGUGCUACACAAUGAAAAGUUAGUUUUAUUUUCUUAUGAAUGUUGGCUGCCCUAUUGCGUUUAGUAAAGUUGCUUGGUGUGGUAAUGGAUUGGUGUUUAUUACAUAUAAAAAGUGUAAAACGUUUUGGCUACUUAAACAACUACUGAUGAAAUUGAUAAACAAUUUACAUUCAUUAGAUUCUAGUCAAUAUUGUGUUAUUAAUUGUACAAUGACAUAGGUCAUUUGUAUGGUAGUGAUUGCUUGUUUAUAUUAAGCUAACCUAUAAAACUAUGGAUAUUCCAACUCCUUCGAAUGUAAAUCACGGAUUUUCUCAGAAUACGGAUGGAUUUUUAAACAUACCUAUUGAAUCUGCAAACUUGGAUCCAUUGUCUACAAAACGUAGAAGCUCUUCACGUACAAUAAAACGCAGAAAAUUUGAUGAUGAACUUGUUGAAACAACAUUUAACUUACAACCUCCAGCUGCGAGUACAAAAUCUGCCUCUAGAUCUAGAACUGUUUCAAUUUCUACUACUCCAAUGGAAUCAGCUGUCCCUCAGCAAAAUGUCCCAAGCCCUAUUCAAGUUUCUGCAAAUGUUUCUCAAUCGGAUAGAUGUAAUCGACGGACAAGUAGACCAGGUGGAUCAAAUGCUCCUGGAAGAAAAAACAAAAAGAGUAAAAAUCAUUCGCAUUCAGUGAAUGCUACAAAGGAUUUAGGAAGAUGGAAACCAACAGACGAUCUUGCAUUAAUCACUGGUGUACAACAGACAAAUGACUUAAGAAUGGUUCACAGAGGUACAAAAUUCUCUUGUCGUUUUACAUUGCAAGAGAUACAGCAAAGGUGGUAUGCACUGCUAUAUGACAGUGCAGUCUCAAGAGUAGCAGUACAAGCUAUGCGUAAUUUACAUCCAGAAUUAAUUGCCAGUGUGCAAGCCAGAACUUUGUAUAGUAAAGCAGAAGAAGAUCUCCUUGGUACAAUAAAAUCGACUCCUCAACCAACAUUGGAAGUGUUUCAAGAACUUCUUGAAGCAAAUGCCCACACAUUCUAUUCUGCAAGAACUGCUAAAGCUUUAUUAGCACAUUGGCAAUUAAUGAAACAGUAUCAUUUACUUCCUGAUCAAACUGUACAAAGUUUACCAAGAGGUGAACAUGUUCUCAACUUUUCCGACGCGGAAGAAAUGAUUAACGAUACAGAAUUGAUCGAACAAAAAGAUGAGUUAGUAGAUGCAGAACUUAUUGCAGCGGACAGAAGAAAUAAAAGAGAGAUAAGAGUGUUAGAAAAUGAAUUAAGCAGGUGGCAGGUUCUGGUUGAUAGUGUAACAGGAGUAAAUCCACCAGAUUUUGAUAAUCAAACUUUAGCAAUACUUAGAGGAAGACUUGUUAGAUAUCUGAUGCGAUCGCGGGAGAUUACUGUAGGUCGUUCAACGAAAGAUCACAGUGUUGAUGUAGACUUGACAUUGGAAGGACCGGCAUGGAAAGUUUCACGAAGACAAGGAACUAUACGUUUAAGAAAUAAUGGAGAUUUCUUUCUUUCUUCGGAAGGGAAGCGACCAAUUUUUGUCGAUAGCAGACCUAUUCUUGCUGGAAAUAAAAUGAAACUUAACAAUAAUAGCGUAAUCGAGAUUGCAGGGCUCAGAUUUAUAUUUUUAAUAAAUCAGGAACUCAUUUCUGUCAUACGUCAGGAAGUAGUUAAAUUGAAUCUAAAACCAUGAAUAUUUCAUCUCAUUCCUUAAUUAGCACUUCUUUUAUAAGUGUAUACAGAACUCUGUAUAAAGCACGUAAUUGUUCAAUUCAGAAGAAGAAAACACUGAAUGUUUAUAUGUAAUGUUUAUACCUAAGUAAGUACAAUUACAACUAAUACUAGUAAAUAUGAUAUUUAAUCUUUAAAACUUUGUAGAACAUAUUUAACUGUAAAAUACUACAUGAAAAUAAACAUAAAGAAAAAGGUAGGAAUUACUUCUGAUGUUUAAAAUUUGCGAAUAGGAUUUAUUUAAAAAUAAUGAGAGAUUAAAUCACAAAAUACAUAAUUAUAUCGAGGGUAAUGAAAGUACAAAAAUUGUAGUACAAUUUUAGAACGUAGAAUGUGAAGCUUUAUCCGUCUUUCACCACCAUCCACCGUUCCAUACUCAUCCUCUCCAGCCCCAACCACCUCUCCAUCCGUAACGCCAUGGUCUCGAGUACCUUGAGAUAUCAUUAAAUAAUGAAUAAAUUUUUGUUAAAAUUGAAACAUAUUUAACACUACAAUCGGGAAUCUCAAAACCCCCUUAAUUACGGGAAGAUUGGUACGGUUCUGGGCUCACCCCCCACCACUUCAUCGGCGCGCGCAGCGCACCUAACGAAUGAUCAGUAAAUCAGUAUACGCUCGGCUCUCGGUGCGUACGGACAUAAGUGAGCGAGUAUAAAAAUAUCAUCCACUUAUGCUUUUGAAAUCAAACAAAGAACCUCUUUUUAAUAACAUAAAUUAAAUUACUUAACUUACCCCCAAUAGGAUGCAUCAGCAUCUAAAUCAUUAGCGUCACUUAAAGAUGGUUCACCUUCUGUGUUAACAGGUUCCGAAGGAUCUUUUGAGGCGGCCACCAAGACCACCACUGCCAAGAGAAAAAGAACCUACACACAGAAAAGGUUGAAUUUGAAUUAGCCGUAAUUAGAAACAUUUUUAUUUUCUAUUUAAUUAUUCCAUUUAAUGAUUAUAAUUUGCGGUGUUUAUCACUAAUGACUAUCAAAAUAUUCAACGCAUUAAGUUUAAAAGAAGAAAAUUAAAUAUUCGAAACGUCCGGAACACCCCUUCAGAUUAUUUAAAUAAACUUACAAUUAGUAGAUUUACUUACCAAGCGUAGUGAUCGCGGCAUAUUGGGAACUGACUAAGAUGCGUCGGUCAGGACCGGCUUUAUAUAUAUACCUUCAAGCGCGAAAAACUAUGGAAAGAUCCGAGGAUAUAUGUAUAAAAAAAGGAAUAGGAUGACACAAAAAAAGUUGAAAUACUUUGUCAGGUGAUUUACGCUUAAAUCAUUUAGAACGUAUUCAAAUUUAAUUCCUUCUAAAAAGUAUGUUCUUUAGGUUUGUCAAUGUAAAAUUAUUUUAUAUAUUAAAUAAAAUAAAGUUAAUUAUUUAAUUAUUCAGAUAAUCGUUUGAAGUUAGUAACAUUUGAAUUCGUAGAAGCGCGGGAAAUUAUUCAAAUUUAAAAUAGUAAUUAACAACAUUGACGAACAUGAAUAAAUUGUAUUUUUCAAAUUCAUUACAAAGAAAGUUAGGGUCAAUAUAUUUAGCGAAUACGCAUCAGUUUUCAAGGUAGGCUGGUUGCAUUCCAUUUCUUCUGAAGCACAGCUUACUCUUCCUUUUCUGAAGAAGGGAUAACUAUAUUUGUUUUUUUUUUACAAGAUAACUCUGAGCACCGUCAUUGCUGUAAACAUUAAACGUUGCAGGCGCGUUUUAUAAAACUGAAUUUGUAAAUAAUAAAUAUUUAUGGCACUUAAA
Osmia lignaria (orchard mason bee) is the source of this 3457-nucleotide RNA transcript. It is a transcript of the gene named microspherule protein Rcd5, with no coding region annotated. The record is from RefSeq and is a predicted model, not a curated record. Lineage: Eukaryota; Metazoa; Arthropoda; Insecta; Hymenoptera; Megachilidae.